RNAcentral lists this ribosomal RNA (430 nucleotides) under Verrucomicrobiota bacterium. RNAcentral describes it as "Verrucomicrobia bacterium partial 16S ribosomal RNA". It matches the Rfam family "Bacterial small subunit ribosomal RNA", at positions 355 to 776 of the family's 1533-position model. The record is from RNAcentral. Lineage: Bacteria; Pseudomonadati; Verrucomicrobiota.
UGGGGAAUCUUCCGCAAUGGACGAAAGUCUGACGGAGCAACGCCGCGUGAGUGAUGACGGUCUUCGGAUUGUAAAGCUCUGUUAAUCGGGACGAAUGGUUUGUGUGCAAAUAGUGCAUAGACAUGACGGUACCUAACCAGAAAGCCACGGCUAACUACGUGCCAGCAGCCGCGGUAAUACGUAGGUGGCAAGCGUUGUCCGGAAUUAUUGGGCGUAAAGCGCGCGCAGGUGGUUUAGAAAGUCUGAUGUGAAAGCCCACGGCUCAACCGUGGAGGGUCAUUGGAAACUAAUAAACUUGAGUGCAGGAGAGAAAAGUGGAAUUCCUAGUGUAGCGGUGAAAUGCGUAGAGAUUAGGAGGAACACCGGUGGCGAAAGCGGCUUUUUGGCCUGCAACUGACACUGAGGCGCGAAAGCGUGGGGAGCAAACAGG